GGGAUAUUAAAAACAUUGGAGUAAAAGACCUUCCUCAAGGAAUGUUUGAAGUAGGAAGCAGCUUGAAGCAAUUAUACCUGGAUGGGUUUAACAAAGAUUUGCGCUUUUGCCAACUGAAGUACCCCACGGAUUUAUCGAGGACCUUGUACAGCACCUUCACGGCCCCUAACAACAGUUUAAUCAACCACAUGCAGAGUCUUACAAAACAAACUUGCCAGGAAAAUUGUAACAUGGCACCCUCAAUUUGUCCUGGAUGUAUUGGUCUUCGAUACAACUACAAAU
Molecule: long non-coding RNA, 282 nt
Organism: Sycon ciliatum
Lineage: Eukaryota; Metazoa; Porifera; Calcarea; Leucosolenida; Sycettidae
Exons: 3
Source: RefSeq, a predicted model, not a curated record